RNAcentral lists this ribosomal RNA (239 nucleotides) under uncultured bacterium. RNAcentral's name for it is "partial 16S ribosomal RNA". It matches the Rfam family "Bacterial small subunit ribosomal RNA", at positions 118 to 353 of the family's 1533-position model. The record is from RNAcentral.
UGAGGAACCUGCCUUGGAGAGGGGGAAUAACACUCCGAAAGGAGUGCUAAUACCGCAUGAUGCAGUUGGGUCGCAUGGCUCUGACUGCCAAAGAUUUAUCGCUCUGAGAUGGCCUCGCGUCUGAUUAGCUAGUAGGCGGGGUAACGGCCCACCUAGGCGACGAUCAGUAGCCGGACUGAGAGGUUGACCGGCCACAUUGGGACUGAGACACGGCCCAGACUCCUACGGGAGGCAGCAUG